AGCCCUGGAAACGGGGUCUAAUACCGGCAUAACACCGGCUUCCGCAUGGGAGCUGGUUAAAAGCUCCGGCGGUGAAGGAUGAGCCCGCGGCCUAUCAGCUUGUUGGUGGGGUAAUGGCCUACCAAGGCGACGACGGGUAGCCGGCCUGAGAGGGCGACCGGCCACACUGGGACUGAGACACGGCCCAGACUCCUACGGGAGGCAGCAGUGGGGAAUAUUGCACAAUGGGCGAAAGCCUGAUGCAGCGACGCCGCGUGAGGGAUGACGGCCUUCGGGUUGUAAACCUCUUUCAGCAGGGAAGAAGCGAAAGUGACGGUACCUGCAGAAGAAGCGCCGGCUAACUACGUGCCAGCAGCCGCGGUAAUACGUAGGGCGCAAGCGUUGUCCGGAAUUAUUGGGCGUAAAGAGCUCGUAGGCGGCUUGUCACGUCGGGUGUGAAAGCCCGGGGCUUAACCCCGGGUCUGCAUCCGAUACGGGCAGGCUAGAGUGUGGUAGGGGAGAUCGGAAUUCCUGGUGUAGCGGUGAAAUGCGCAGAUAUCAGGAGGAACACCGGUGGCGAAGGCGGAUCUCUGGGCCAUUACUGACGCUGAGGAGCGAAAG
This 600-nucleotide ribosomal RNA is filed under the name Streptomyces sp. Its description in RNAcentral is "bacterial SSU rRNA". It matches the Rfam family "Bacterial small subunit ribosomal RNA", at positions 146 to 759 of the family's 1533-position model. Lineage: Bacteria; Bacillati; Actinomycetota; Actinomycetes; Kitasatosporales; Streptomycetaceae. The record is from RNAcentral.